RNAcentral lists this ribosomal RNA (460 nucleotides) under uncultured bacterium. Its description in RNAcentral is "partial 16S ribosomal RNA". It matches the Rfam family "Bacterial small subunit ribosomal RNA", at positions 338 to 795 of the family's 1533-position model. The record is from RNAcentral.
CCUACGGGUGGCAGCAGUGAGGAAUAUUGGUCAAUGGACGGAAGUCUGAACCAGCCAAGCCGCGUGCAGGAUGACGGCUCUAUGAGUUGUAAACUGCUUUUGUACAGGGAUAAACUUGAAUAUGUGUACUUCUCUGAAUGUACUUUACGAAUAAGGAUCGGCUAACUCCGUGCCAGCAGCCGCGGUAAUACGGAGGAUCCGAGCGUUAUCCGGAUUUGUUGGGUUUAAAGGGUGCGUAGGCGGUUUGUUAAGUUAGAUGUGAAAGGUCGGGGCUUAACCGGGAAAUUGCAGUUAAUACUGUUGUUCUUGAGAACAGGAGCGGUAGGCGGAAUGCGUGGUGUAGCGGUGAAAUGCUUAGAGAUCAUGAAGAACACCGAUUGCGAAGGCAGCUUACUGGACUAUAUCUGACGUUGAGGCACGAAAGCGUGGGGAGCAAACAGGAUUAGAUACCCGAGUAGUC